RNAcentral lists this ribosomal RNA (253 nucleotides) under uncultured bacterium. Its description in RNAcentral is "partial 16S ribosomal RNA". It matches the Rfam family "Bacterial small subunit ribosomal RNA", at positions 524 to 776 of the family's 1533-position model. The record is from RNAcentral.
CACGGGGGGAGCAAGCGUUGUUCGGAUUCAUUGGGCGUAAAGGGCUCGUGGGUGGCUUUGUAAGUCGGAGGUGAAAGACCACGGCUCAACCGUGGAAACGCCUUCGAAACUGUGAAGCUUGAGGCUGGGAGAGGAAAUCGGAAUUCCUGGUGUAGCGGUGAAAUGCGCAGAUAUCAGGAGGAACACCGGUGGCGAAGGCGGAUUUCUGGACCAGUUCUGCCACUGAUGAGCGAAAGCCAGGGGAGCAAACAGG